GAUCUUGGUGGUAGUAGCA
RNAcentral lists this non-coding RNA (19 nucleotides) under Arabidopsis thaliana (thale cress). RNAcentral also lists the same sequence under 2 other names. Lineage: Eukaryota; Viridiplantae; Streptophyta; Magnoliopsida; Brassicales; Brassicaceae. The record is from RNAcentral.